UUCUAUAAAAUUAUAGAACAUUUUAUGCUAAAACUAGUAACAAGAGCUUACCCCUCUCUACAAUGCAAGUAUAAGCCAGCAAGAACUCAUCACUGGCAAAUAGCAGGCCUAAAUUCAAGUAGCAACCCCCCCCCCCCCGAAAACACUACCCACCUUAACUGUUAACCUAACACUAGAGCAUUACAAGAAAGAUUAAAAGGGGGAGAAGGAAUUCCGCAAAUAUUAGUUCCGCCUGUUUACCAAAAACAUCGCCUCUUGUAAAUCAAUAAGAGGUCUAGCCUGCCCAGUGACUCUGUUCAACGGCCGCGGUAUCCUAACCGUGCAAAGGUAGCGUAAUCACUUGUCCCCUAAAUAGAGACUAGUAUGAAAGGCAUCACGAGAACUAAACUGUCUCCUCCCCCUAAUCAGUGAACCUAAUAGCCCCGUGAAGAAGCGGGGAUCUCAAUAUAAGACGAGAAGACCCUAUGGAGCUUAAAACACUACAUCACCUGCCACCCACUUAUUUACCUCGGCACACUGAUUAUAUGUUUUUGGUUGGGGUGACCGCGGAGAAAAACCUAUCCUCCGCAAUGAGGGAGUCCUCCCUAAACAAUAAGUCACAACUUUAUGUAUCAGAAAACUGACAUUAUUGACCCAAUAUAUUUGAUUAACGAACCAAGUUACCCUAGGGAUAACAGCGCAAUCCACUUCAAGAGCUCCUAUCGAC
This 706-nucleotide ribosomal RNA is filed under the name Pristimantis sp. ZSFQ 0505. RNAcentral's name for it is "partial large subunit ribosomal RNA". It matches the Rfam family "Bacterial large subunit ribosomal RNA", at positions 1239 to 2509 of the family's 2925-position model. Lineage: Eukaryota; Metazoa; Chordata; Amphibia; Anura; Strabomantidae. The record is from RNAcentral.